Nelumbo nucifera (sacred lotus) is the source of this 1503-nucleotide RNA transcript. It is a transcript of the gene named large ribosomal subunit protein uL10c-like, with no coding region annotated. The record is from RefSeq and is a predicted model, not a curated record. Lineage: Eukaryota; Viridiplantae; Streptophyta; Magnoliopsida; Proteales; Nelumbonaceae.
GCAUAUGUACAUGCUCUUUUGAAUGCCAUGUGCGAGCAAGGUGCUAACGAUACUCUCCUUUCAUUUUUCGCGUUCUUCCAUCCCGCACUCGAGAAGAUAAGGUGUAUGGUCUAUAGGUCACCCUUUCCUCCGCAAUGGAAGUUUCUCUCUGUGCAUUCCCCUCCUCGAAGGCACCUUCCUCUCAGCAGCUAACGCUGAACGGUUUCACAACAACAGUCUUUAAGCCCAAAACAGCUUUUCCGACAACCCACAGAACCUCUCAUUUCCCUUCAAUCCGCGCCGCUAUCAGCCGAACCAAGAAGGAAGAAACGGUGGAAAACGUUAAGAAACAGCUAGAGAACUGUUACCUUGUCGCUGGAAUCAAGUACAAGGGCUUCACAGUGAAGCAAUUUCAAGAGCUCAGGCGGAGUUUUCCGGAAUCCGUCAAGCUCGUCGUCGCCAAGAACACGCUUGUCGGCAAAGCUGUCGAAGGUACGCCGUGGGAGGCUCUGAAGCCUUGCAUGAAGGGCAUGAGUGCCUGGAUGUUUGUUCACACUGAGGAAAUUCCUGAAGCGCUGAAACCGUACAGAAGUUUCCAGAAAGAGAAGAAGUUGGAAGACAAUGAUUUCACGGGGGCGGUGUUUGAGGGAAAGUUUUAUGGGCCCUUUGAUUUCAAGGCUCUAGAGACAAUGCCGACGAGGGCUGAGAUUUAUGCCAAGUUGUUGGGUUCGCUUCAAAGCCCUGCAUCGGCAUUGGUUGGUACGCUCCAGGCGCCGGCGAGGGAUUUGGUGAUGACUUUAAAAGCAUAUGUUCAGAAGUUGGAAGAGGAUGGUGGGCAAUAGAAGCAUCAGGCGCUUUUUAUGGAGCUUCUGUUUGGUUCGCGCGACGUGGAUCAUGUUUGUUUCGAGAGAUAUGAUGUGAUGAGAUGGGAUUAGUGUUCUCAAAAUAAGGGACGCGGGGUCUCACCAAAUAGGUGUGACCCUAGUGAGAAACGAAAGUUGCGUGACGAGUGUGAGAAAAUUUUGUAGAGGGUGGACUAUUCUCAUCUCCCACCUCUGCAACGGUCCGAACUCCAACCACCCUAUCUUUCAUCUCUGGCGAGGUUUACGGCCUCCGGUGCUUAGCGGACAAGGAGCACGGGUUCAUCUUUGGAGACCGGAGUUCUCAUCCUCAUCUUCUACGAAGAUCUGCCAGCUCUCAUCAACCAAACGUUGGAAGCAGAUUCUGUAGGAUAGAUGGAAUGAAGGAAUAUAAUUGGGACAAAGCUUAGAUGAUGACGAUGAUGAUGAUGAUGAAUGAAUGAAGAGGCUAAUUGGUUCUGUUGAGGAUUAUGUUCAAAGCAUUAGAUUGGGACUAAGAACUAGACUCCCAUUGAUGAAUAGCAUUGCAAACAUCUUAUGGAUAUUAUAAAUUGGAACCUUUUUUCCAUAUGCCAGACGCAAAGUACUGCAGUUAUCAAGGACAUGCAUGAUAAGGAAGAAUUCUUGAAUGCAAAACAGCACUACUUUGAGAUGUCUUUCUGUA